Molecule: ribosomal RNA, 497 nt
Filed under: Hordeum marinum (seaside barley)
Lineage: Eukaryota; Viridiplantae; Streptophyta; Magnoliopsida; Poales; Poaceae
Source: RNAcentral
GGAUCCCAUCAGAACUCCGAAGUUAAGCAUGCUUGGGCGAGAGUAGUACUAGGAUGGGUGACCUCCUGGGAAGUCCUCGUGUUGCAUUCUCUUUUUAAUAAGUUUUUGCUCCACGCGAGAAACAUGACGCACGUGCGCGGUAUUUAUUAAACAAUGUUUCUGAUUUUUGACGGUUGCGGUAAGUUAUAGCUUGCGGCGCGGUACUCACGCGUCUAGGGGCGGCGUUGCGGUGGCAAAGGUACCGCGUUGUGAAAGGGGUCGAAACCGCGGUAGAACUCGUGUUGGUGCGGUAGAGAGGGAAGGGUGGAAACGGUGGAAAACCCGUCUUUGUUGUUGAGCGGGAGAGUACGUGGUACGGUGCGGUAUCCGUUAUUAGGAGCGGUGGAAAAGAAUGUACGGAGGUGUUUAUGGUGGAGCCGGGAGGGGCGAGCAUAAUGAACGAAGGCGGGGGUAACUUGUCGGAUGCAAUCAUACCAGCAUUGAAGCACCAAAUCCCC